GUGCCAGCCGCCGCGGUAAUACGGAAGGUCCGGGCGUUAUCCGGAUUUAUUGGGUUUAAAGGGAGCGCAGGCUGGCUUUUAAGCGUGACGUGAAAUGCGGCGGCUCAACCGUCCGAAGUGCGUCGCGAACUGGAGGCCUUGAGUGAGUUCGACGCCGGCGGAAUUCGUGGUGUAGCGGUGAAAUGCUUAGAUAUCACGAGGAACCCCGAUUGCGAAGGCAGCCGGCGAGGCCUUUACUGACGCUAAAGCUCGAAGGUGCGGGUAUCGAACAGGAUUAGAUACCCUGGUAGUCCGCACGGUAAACGAUGGAUGCCCGCUGUUUGCGAUACACUGUGAGCGGCCAAGCGAAAGCGUUAAGCAUCCCACCUGGGGAGUACGCCGGCAACGGUGAAACUCAAAGGAAUUGACGGGGGCCCGCACAAGCGGAGGAACAUGUGGUUUAAUUCGAUGAUACGCGAGGAACCUUACCCGGGCUUGAACUGCAGCGGAACGAUUCAGAGAUGAUGAGGUCCUUCGGGACCGCUGUGGAGGUGCUGCAUGGUUGUCGUCAGCUCGUGCCGUGAGGUGUCGGCUUAAGUGCCAUAACGAGCGCAACCCCUCUCUUCAGUUGCCAUCGGGUUAUGCCGGGCACUCUGGAGACACUGCCACCGUAAGGUGUGAGGAAGGUGGGGAUGACGUCAAAUCAGCACGGCCCUUACGUCCGGGGCUACACACGUGUUACAAUGGGUGGUACAGAGAGCCGGUCUGCCGCAAGUCAGAUCCAAUCAAGAAAGCCAUCCUCAGUUCGGACUGGGGUCUGCAACCCGACCCCACGAAGCUGGAUUCGCUAGUAAUCGCGCAUCAGCCAUGGCGCGGUGAAUACGUUCCCGGGCCUUGCACACACCGCCCGU
This 890-nucleotide ribosomal RNA is filed under the name uncultured bacterium. RNAcentral describes it as "bacterial SSU rRNA". It matches the Rfam family "Bacterial small subunit ribosomal RNA", at positions 505 to 1397 of the family's 1533-position model. The record is from RNAcentral.